GCCAAUUUCACCAUCCAAAAUCAUCCCAUUCUGGGGUUUUCUGCCCAUAACUGCUUGCUUGAUUUUGUUUGUUUUGAGGAGACGAGUAGCCAAAAAUCAGAGAACAGAGAGGAUGUGAAGCGAUUAUGAAAAAGAAUUACAGAAAAUAGGACGAAAGAAAAAUGAAAAAGAAUUAUGGGAGGAAACCUUUAAAGUUAAGAGUAUUUUGUUAUUGCAGUUAAUUGGGGUGAGUUGUGGAAAGAGCACAGCCAUUACAUCAUUUUAGAAGCAAGGAUCCAAGGAAAAUUGGGUAUUGCACAGAUUGAGGAACUGAGGCCGGGAUGCUGAGAGAUAUGUACGAGUUCUCAGAGAGUUGUGCAAGCAUCACCACAAUUUCAGAACGUUUCCAUCAUCGUCCAAAGGAAGCGUACAUCCAGUGGCCAUCACCCCCCAACCCCCAGUCCGUCUACACCUGCAGCCCUAGAAAGCCAUGGAUGUAAUUUUUCCUCUCUGUGCAUCUGUCCCCUAUGGACAUUUGAAAUAAAUACAGGUAUGUGGUCUGUGUUCCU
RNAcentral lists this long non-coding RNA (548 nucleotides) under Mustela putorius furo (domestic ferret). RNAcentral's name for it is "lncRNA (ENSMPUG00000029275.1)". Lineage: Eukaryota; Metazoa; Chordata; Mammalia; Carnivora; Mustelidae. The record is from RNAcentral.